CGGAGCCCAUAAAAGCUUCCGCAGCGGGAGGAAUUCUACACUGUCAUACUUACACCACGUCAUCAAUAACAAGUCAAUCAUAUUUCUUCUUUUCAAACAAAAGUACAAUAAAAAUACUUUUUUACAAUCAUGAUGGAACAUAUAUUCUUAAAAGAAUUAAUUUGAUUGGUUUGUUACGCCACGUCACUAAUAUACCCGUUGCAUUCUAGAAUUUUUCCCGCAGCAGAGGCGAAAACCCGAACCGGGAAUGCUUGUUGAGUGUAAUGGUUAUAUAUUGCGAUUGCGUGCGUCUCCUUGCAAAUUUUUUAAAUUAAUAUACUUAAAAAAAUACUAGAAUUAUAAAAAUAAUGUUUUAAAAAUUUUAUUUACAAAAUUAGGUUUAUACGGUAAAUAAAUUACCGCUUUUAAAUAUAAUAAAAUAUUUUUUUAAAAUAGUAAAAUUAUUUUGAAAAAACUUCAAAUAUCACUUAUUUAGUUUUACACUUUCUCACUUUGGUACCAUGGGGUUUAACGUGUAUCGAUUUAGCAUCUCGUUGUUUCAUUUUUCUUUUUUUAUUAUCCUUCCACUAAUUUUUUUUAUUAAAUUAGCGACAAAAUUAAAACUAAAAGGUAGUAAAGUGAAUAUUCGAUAAAUCUCGACGGGAUAUCUGAAAAUUUUUGUAUAUAAUUUAACGAAACAUUAACAGACGUCGAAGGAGUUGACGAAAAGAAAAAAAUAAAACUAUAUGGUACUAAAUUGAUACACUUUAAACUAUAUGAUACUAAAAUAAAAAAAAUAUGCAAAACCAUAAGAAUGGUAUUUGAAAUUUGUCUAAUUAUUUUUAGUGUUUAAUAUUAUACAUAUUUUAAAGUUUGGAUAUAGAAAAUAUAUUAAUUAGGAUAAAAUGGUAAUGAUUCACUGUUUUUUUCUCAUUCGAUUACUUUUUUUUCUCAUUUGAUUAUUGUGUAAUAAAAAUAAUUUUAAUCAUCUAUUUGCAUAAAAUGCGACUUUUUUGGACCAAAGUUGAAUAGUUUUGUUGAAAUGAUUAAUUUGUUUUUAUUAUAGUUUUAUUUUUUAAAAAUUAUUUAUCUAUAGUAUCGACCAUAUUAACUAUUUUUAUACUAAACUGAUAUUUUAUUUUUUACAAAUUUUUACUUUAACGAUAUCUAUUCGUCGUAACAUGCAUGUGACUGCACUAGUAUUUAUAAAAAACUUAAUGAAAUUAACACUUUUUUUUGUGGGGGAACUUCAAAUACCCCCGUGGUUUCGUAAUUUCUCACUUUAGUACCCUAUGGUUUAAAGUGUAUCAAGUUAGUACCAUAUGAUUUUGCACCUUCUCACUUUAGUACCCUAUAAUUUCAAGUGUAUCAAGUUAGUACCCUGUGGUUUCGCACUUUUCCACUUUAGUAUCGUGUGGUUUAAUACUUCGUUAAAUUAUAUACUUUGAAAUGAAUAAUAAAAAGAGAAAAUUGAAACCACAGGGUACUAGUUUGAUACAUUUGAAAUCAUAUAGUACUAAAGUGAAAAAGUGCGAAACCAUAUGGUACUAACUUAAUACACUUGAAACCACAUCGUACUAACUACAGGGGUAUUUAAAGUUUCCUUUUUCCUUUUUUCUUUUUUCUUUUUUCUUU
Molecule: long non-coding RNA, 1614 nt
Filed under: Ananas comosus (pineapple)
Lineage: Eukaryota; Viridiplantae; Streptophyta; Magnoliopsida; Poales; Bromeliaceae
Description: long non-coding RNA (ACOM_LNC014230)
Source: RNAcentral